Molecule: non-coding RNA, 128 nt
Organism: Cephalotus follicularis
Lineage: Eukaryota; Viridiplantae; Streptophyta; Magnoliopsida; Oxalidales; Cephalotaceae
Source: Rfam
AGGAGCGACCAUACCAACACUAAUGCACGGGAUUCCAUCAGAACUCCGCAGUUAAGCGUGCUUGGGCGAAAAUAGUUCUAAGAUGAGCUUAUCUUAUGACUUUCAUAGACUUAGGCCAGUGGCUUGAC